Molecule: long non-coding RNA, 317 nt
Filed under: Homo sapiens (human)
Lineage: Eukaryota; Metazoa; Chordata; Mammalia; Primates; Hominidae
Description: HSALNT0167296
Source: RNAcentral
GUGCUGCUUAGCAGGGGAAAGAUGGCGGUGACGGGCUGGUUGGAGAGUCUGCGGACAGCCCAGAAGACUGCGCUGCUGCAGGACGGGAGAAGGAAGGUUCACUAUUUAUUCCCAGACGGCAAGGAAAUGGCUGAAGAAUAUGACGAGAAGACGAGUGAACUACUUGUGCUAUUCAUUCCCACCCCCCACAAUGAUUGCUGCAUGUAUUCAUAGAGGAAAAAACUGAAGGCCCCACAACAAUGAUCGGAACAUCAAACCAGCCUGAGAAGAACACAGCAUGUCCAAGGGGGCUGAGGCUGAAGGGCAGGCCAUCCCCC